AUUGAACGCUGGCGGCGUGCCUAAUACAUGCAUCGACGUCUUAGUGGCGGACGGGUGAGUAACCCGUGGGAACCUACCCAUCAGCGGGGGAUAACUACGCGAAAGCGUAGCUAAUACCGCAUACUAUUGGAGCGGCAGAUAUGGGAGUAGCUAGUUGGUGGGGUAACGGCUCACCACGGCGACGAUCCGUAGCUGGUUUGAGAGGACGACCAGCAACACUGGGACGGAGACACGGCCCAGACUCCUACGGGAGACAGCAGUGGGGAAUAUUGCACAAUGGGCGCAAGCCUGAUGCAGCCAUGCCGCGUGUGUGAAGAAGGCCUUCGGGUUGUAAAGCACUUUCAGCGGGGAGGCGUUACCCGCAGAAGAAGCACCGGCUAACUCCGUGCCAGCAGCCGCGGUAAUUC
Molecule: ribosomal RNA, 407 nt
Filed under: uncultured bacterium
Lineage: Bacteria
Description: partial 16S ribosomal RNA
Rfam family: Bacterial small subunit ribosomal RNA
Source: RNAcentral